This 372-nucleotide long non-coding RNA is filed under the name Nicotiana benthamiana. RNAcentral describes it as "long non-coding RNA (NBEN_LNC041970)". Lineage: Eukaryota; Viridiplantae; Streptophyta; Magnoliopsida; Solanales; Solanaceae. The record is from RNAcentral.
GAGUAUCAAACCACCGGAUAGCAGUCAAACGACCGAUUUGACCACCAGAAACCCUAGAAGUUUAAAACUCACUGGAAAAUUUUCAAAAAUUCUACAACAAUCGAUUGAACCGUUCAAGUGAAGAGGAACAGUCAUAGAUCGUGAAGAUAAAGGCUCGGAACAAGUCCAAUCGGAGUCAAAACCAUCACUGACCUUUCGAUCUCAGAAAACCCCAAAAAUUUCAUUAGAGAACAGUUCAAACGAACUACAGAUUCACAUAAAAGUAUCAUCGGAUCAUUAUGUAGGCUUUGAUACCAUGAAAACAUGCAAGAAAACCAUAGAAAUUUAGAGAGAGAAAGUAGAGAGAAGGAGGAGAGUUUCGGAAGAGUCUCG